This 680-nucleotide ribosomal RNA is filed under the name Pediococcus pentosaceus. RNAcentral's name for it is "bacterial SSU rRNA". It matches the Rfam family "Bacterial small subunit ribosomal RNA", at positions 83 to 750 of the family's 1533-position model. The record is from RNAcentral. Lineage: Bacteria; Bacillati; Bacillota; Bacilli; Lactobacillales; Lactobacillaceae.
AACACGAAGUGAGUGGCGAACGGGUGAGUAACACGUGGGUAACCUGCCCAGAAGUAGGGGAUAACACCUGGAAACAGAUGCUAAUACCGUAUAACAGAGAAAACCGCAUGGUUUUCUUUUAAAAGAUGGCUCUGCUAUCACUUCUGGAUGGACCCGCGGCGUAUUAGCUAGUUGGUGAGGUAAAGGCUCACCAAGGCAGUGAUACGUAGCCGACCUGAGAGGGUAAUCGGCCACAUUGGGACUGAGACACGGCCCAGACUCCUACGGGAGGCAGCAGUAGGGAAUCUUCCACAAUGGACGCAAGUCUGAUGGAGCAACGCCGCGUGAGUGAAGAAGGGUUUCGGCUCGUAAAGCUCUGUUGUUAAAGAAGAACGUGGGUAAGAGUAACUGUUUACCCAGUGACGGUAUUUAACCAGAAAGCCACGGCUAACUACGUGCCAGCAGCCGCGGUAAUACGUAGGUGGCAAGCGUUAUCCGGAUUUAUUGGGCGUAAAGCGAGCGCAGGCGGUCUUUUAAGUCUAAUGUGAAAGCCUUCGGCUCAACCGAAGAAGUGCAUUGGAAACUGGGAGACUUGAGUGCAGAAGAGGACAGUGGAACUCCAUGUGUAGCGGUGAAAUGCGUAGAUAUAUGGAAGAACACCAGUGGCGAAGGCGGCUGUCUGGUCUGCAACUGACGCUGAG